Molecule: ribosomal RNA, 508 nt
Filed under: uncultured bacterium
Lineage: Bacteria
Description: partial 16S ribosomal RNA
Rfam family: Bacterial small subunit ribosomal RNA
Source: RNAcentral
GACGAACGCUGGCGGCGUGCUUAACACAUGCAAGUCGAACGGGAUAAUUUGAGAGCUUGCUCUUAGAGAAUCUAGUGGCAAACGGGUGAGUAACACGUAGACAACCUGCCGACAGGAUGGGGACAACAUUCCGAAAGGAAUGCUAAUACCGAAUGAAGCGGAGGAGAGGCAUCUCUCCUCCGUGAAAGAUGGCCUCUGAAUAUGCUAUCACCUGUCGAUGGGUCUGCGUCUGAUUAGCUAGUUGGUGAGGUAACGGCUCACCAAGGCGACGAUCAGUAGCCGGUCUGAGAGGAUGAACGGCCACAUUGGGACUGAGACACGGCCCAGACUCCUACGGGAGGCAGCAGUGGGGAAUCUUCCGCAAUGGGCGCAAGCCUGACGGAGCAACGCCGCGUGAGUGAAGAAGGGCUUCGGAUCGUAAAGCUCUGUUGACGGGGACGAACGUGCGAAGGGUGAAUAAGCCUUUGUAAUGACGGUACCUGUCGAGGAAGCCACGGCUAACUACGUG